This 460-nucleotide ribosomal RNA is filed under the name uncultured beta proteobacterium. RNAcentral's name for it is "bacterial LSU rRNA". It matches the Rfam family "Bacterial large subunit ribosomal RNA", at positions 4 to 505 of the family's 2925-position model. The record is from RNAcentral. Lineage: Bacteria; Pseudomonadati; Pseudomonadota; Betaproteobacteria.
CAAGUGACUAAGUGCACAUGGUGGAUGCCUUGGCGAUUACAGGCGAUGAAGGACGCAGUAGCUUGCGAUAAGCUGCGGGGAGCUGGCAAACGAGCUUUGAUCCGCAGAUGUCCGAAUGGGGAAACCCGGCCCGCAAGGGUCAUCGCAUACUGAAUACAUAGGUAUGCGAAGCGAACGCGGCGAACUGAAACAUCUAAGUAGCUGCAGGAAAAGAAAUCAACCGAGAUUCCCAAAGUAGUGGCGAGCGAAAUGGGAUCAGCCUGCAAGAUUUAGCAGUCGUGAUAGCGGAAUGCUCUGGAAGGUGCGGCCGUAGCGGAUGAUAGCCCCGUACACGAAAUCAUGGUUGUGGAACUAGGCUUGCGACAAGUAGGGCGGGACACGUGAAAUCCUGUCUGAACAUGGGGGGACCAUCCUCCAAGGCUAAAUACUCGUAAUCGACCGAUAGUGAACCAGUACCGUG